GCCGUCGCUGAUCGGGCGGACGUGGCCGGUGAGGGCGGCCAGGUGGCGGCGCAGUUCGUAGCCGUGCAGCGGCC
Molecule: transfer RNA, 74 nt
Filed under: Kitasatospora griseola
Lineage: Bacteria; Bacillati; Actinomycetota; Actinomycetes; Kitasatosporales; Streptomycetaceae
Description: tRNA-Leu
Source: RNAcentral